CAUGGACCAGUGGGGUCCCUCGGCCUGGCCUGUGCCCUCUCGCAACCUGGGACCCCUCGGGGGAUGUCGGUUUCAGCCUGAUCCCCGCAGGCCAGGCCGAGGGACCCCACUGGUGCACA
This 119-nucleotide microRNA precursor is filed under the name Myotis lucifugus (little brown bat). RNAcentral describes it as "mir-9193 microRNA precursor family". It matches the Rfam family "mir-9193 microRNA precursor family". The record is from Rfam by way of RNAcentral. Lineage: Eukaryota; Metazoa; Chordata; Mammalia; Chiroptera; Vespertilionidae.